Molecule: ribosomal RNA, 247 nt
Filed under: Alexandrium tamarense
Lineage: Eukaryota; Dinophyceae; Gonyaulacales; Pyrocystaceae
Description: partial Bacterial large subunit ribosomal RNA
Rfam family: Bacterial large subunit ribosomal RNA
Source: RNAcentral
CUCUAAGGGCAUUUGGUGGAUGCCUUGGCGUUGAGAGGCGAUGAAGGACGUGACACGCUGCGAUAAGCCAUGGGGAGCUGCGAGUAAGCUUUGAUCCGCGGAUUUCCGAAUGGGGAAACCCGGCUGGGGUCAUGCCCAGUCACCCGAAAGGGAGCGAACCAGGGGAACUGAAAUAUCUAAGUACCCGGAGGAAAGGACAUCAACCGAGACUCCGUUAGUAGUGACGAGCGAACGCGGACCAGGCCAG